CAAGGAAUAUUGUGCAAUGGGCGAAAGCCUGACACAGCGACGCCGCGUGGGGGAAGAAGGCCUUCGGGUUGUAAACCCCUUUUCUCAGGGAAGAUAAUGACGGUACCUGAGGAAUAAGUCUCGGCUAACUACGUGCCAGCAGCCGCGGUAAUACGUAGGAGGCGAGCGUUAUCCGGAUUUACUGGGCGUAAAGAGUGCGUAGGCGGUUCGGCAAGUCGGAUGUGAAAUCUCCCGGCUUAACCGGGAUGGGUCAUCCGAUACUGCCGGACUAGAGGACAGCAAGGGGAAGUGGAAUUCCCGGUGUAGUGGUGAAAUGCGUAGAUAUCGGGAGGAACACCAGUGGCGAAAGCGGCUUCCUGGGCUGUUUCUGACGCUGAGGCUCGAAAGUGUGGGGAGCGAA
RNAcentral lists this ribosomal RNA (400 nucleotides) under uncultured bacterium. RNAcentral describes it as "bacterial SSU rRNA". It matches the Rfam family "Bacterial small subunit ribosomal RNA", at positions 355 to 772 of the family's 1533-position model. The record is from RNAcentral.